This 222-nucleotide unclassified non-coding RNA is filed under the name Hevea brasiliensis (rubber tree). Lineage: Eukaryota; Viridiplantae; Streptophyta; Magnoliopsida; Malpighiales; Euphorbiaceae. The record is from RNAcentral.
GGUUAGGCUUGAGAAGGUCCACCCAUUUGUUGAGGAGGAGAUCCGUGUCUCUGUGAGAUAAUGGCAGGGCCAGGAAGCUCCAUGUUGUAUUCUUUUCUUUUGUUCAUUGUCAUUCUCUCGCUUCAAGAGAUGUAUCGAGGCAAGUUAGCAUCAACAGAGUUGUUUACCAUACUUGGAGGCUUCAUCAGUUCUUUCCUAUUUCUUGUGCUGCUAACAUUCAUU